CCUACGGGGGGCUGCAGUGGGGAAUAUUGGACAAUGGGUGAAAGCCUGAUCCAGCCAUGCCGCGUGUGUGAAGAAGGCCUUCGGGUUGUAAAGCACUUUCAGUGGGGAAGAAAGCCUUGGGGCUAAUACCCUCGAGGAAGGACAUCACCCACAGAAGAAGCACCGGCUAACUCCGUGCCAGCAGCCGCGGUAAUACGGAGGGUGCGAGCGUUAAUCGGAAUUACUGGGCGUAAAGCGCGCGUAGGCGGUCUGAUAAGCCGGUUGUGAAAGCCCCGGGCUCAACCUGGGAACGGCAUCCGGAACUGUCAGGCUAGAGUGCAGGAGAGGAAGGUAGAAUUCCCGGUGUAGCGGUGAAAUGCGUAGAGAUCGGGAGGAAUACCAGUGGCGAAGGCGGCCUUCUGGACUGACACUGACGCUGAGGUGCGAAAGCGUGGGUAGCAAACAGGAUUAGAUACCCGUGUAGUC
Molecule: ribosomal RNA, 465 nt
Filed under: Vreelandella stevensii
Lineage: Bacteria; Pseudomonadati; Pseudomonadota; Gammaproteobacteria; Oceanospirillales; Halomonadaceae
Description: partial 16S ribosomal RNA
Rfam family: Bacterial small subunit ribosomal RNA
Source: RNAcentral